UGCCAUGGUGGAGGCCUAACACAUGCAGUCGAACGGUAACAGGAAGUGCUUGCACUUCGCUGACGAGUGGCGGACGGGUGAGUAAUGCUUGGGAACUUGCCUUUGUGAGGGGGAUAACAGUUGGAAACGACUGCUAAUACCGCAUAAUGUCUACGGACCAAACGGGGCUUCGGCUCCGGCGCAAAGAGAGGCCCAAGUGAGAUUAGCUAGUUGGUAAGGUAAAGGCUUACCAAGGCAACGAUCUCUAGCUGUUCUGAGAGGAAGAUCAGCCACACUGGAACUGAGACACGGUCCAGACUCCUACGGGAGGCAGCAGUGGGGAAUAUUGCACAAUGGGGGAAACCCUGAUGCAGCCAUGCCGCGUGUGUGAAGAAGGCCUUCGGGUUGUAAAGCACUUUCAGUUGUGAGGAAAAGUUAGUAGUUAAUACCUGCUAGCCGUGACGUUAACAACAGAAGAAGCACCGGCUAACUCCGUGCCAGCAGCCGCGGUAAUACGGAGGGUGCGAGCGUUAAUCGGAAUUACUGGGCGUAAAGCGCACGCAGGCGGUUUGUUAAGCUAGAUGUGAAAGCCCCGGGCUCAACCUGGGAUGGUCAUUUAGAACUGGCAGACUAGAGUCUUGGAGAGGGGAGUGGAAUUCCAGGUGUAGCGGUGAAAUGCGUAGAUAUCUGGAGGAACAUCAGUGGCGAAGGCGACUCCCUGGCCAAAGACUGACGCUCAUGUGCGAAAGGUGUGGGUAGCGAACAGGAUUAGAUACCCUGGUAGUCCACACCGUAACGCUGUCUACUAGCUGUUUGUGACUUUAAGUCGUGAGUAGCGAAGCUAACGCGAUAAGUAGACCGCCUGGGAGUACGGCCCGCAAGGUUAAAACUCAAAUGAAUUGACGG
This 885-nucleotide ribosomal RNA is filed under the name uncultured marine bacterium. RNAcentral describes it as "bacterial SSU rRNA". It matches the Rfam family "Bacterial small subunit ribosomal RNA", at positions 34 to 916 of the family's 1533-position model. The record is from RNAcentral.